GGUGAACGCUGGCGGCGUGCUUAACACGUGCAAGUCGAACGAAGCAUUUGAAGGUGCUUGCACCAUCAAAUGACUGAGUGGCGGACGGGUGAGUAACGCGUGGGUAACCUGCCUCACACAGGGGGAUAACAGUGGGAAACUGCUGCUAAUACCGCAUAAGCGCACAGUAUCGCAUGAUACAGUGUGAAAAACUCCGGUGGUGUGAGAUGGACCCGCGUCUGAUUAGCUAGUUGGUAAGGUAACGGCUUACCAAGGCGACGAUCAGUAGCCGACCUGAGGGGGUGACCGGCCACACUGGGACUGAGACACGGCCCAG
This 316-nucleotide ribosomal RNA is filed under the name uncultured bacterium. Its description in RNAcentral is "bacterial SSU rRNA". It matches the Rfam family "Bacterial small subunit ribosomal RNA", at positions 28 to 334 of the family's 1533-position model. The record is from RNAcentral.